Molecule: ribosomal RNA, 350 nt
Filed under: Euglena gracilis
Lineage: Eukaryota; Euglenozoa; Euglenophyceae; Euglenales; Euglenaceae
Description: LSU rRNA chain 2 from Euglena gracilis (PDB 6ZJ3, chain LC)
Rfam family: Eukaryotic large subunit ribosomal RNA
Source: RNAcentral
CUCGAUCGGCUUUCGUUGGAAUCCAGCAAACCCUGUGGGCUAUGGAGCAGUUGGCUGUGUCUCGGUGCUUCCCAGUACCAAGAAGAGUCCUGGAAUGGACCCACGAAACAGGGAGACUGUCCCGUAUGGCUGAACCGUGUGCUGGGAUCACUGGGAUGUGGCUGGCUGUAUCCCCGAGUAGAGUGGCUUGGGACUGCAGUUUGAAGAGUGACGUGUAUCCGUCACAAGGUGGCAUACAGACCUGGGACCGAUAGUGCACAAGUAGAGUGAUCGAAGGAUGCAAAGAACUCCGCGAAGAGGGUUAAAAGUCCCUGAAGCCGCAACAGGAUCGGUGGUGUGCAGUGCUGUAU